RNAcentral lists this long non-coding RNA (940 nucleotides) under Theobroma cacao (cacao). Its description in RNAcentral is "long non-coding RNA (TCAC_LNC001639)". The record is from RNAcentral. Lineage: Eukaryota; Viridiplantae; Streptophyta; Magnoliopsida; Malvales; Malvaceae.
GAUCGGCCAGUGAAAAUAGUUAGAGACACCUCCGAACAAAUAGCAACUUACUAUCUCGUUGUUGCCAGGUGAGUGAACUUGCAUUAAAAUGUUUUGGAAUAAAUGAUUUUAUGCUUGAUUGAGCCACUUGAAAUAUUUUGUUGGUUUUUCUUUAAAAGUUGCAUGGGAACAAGCCUUUGAUGAAAUGUUUUGAUAUUAUGAUAUAUGAACAUGAUGAAUUCAUGAGUUUUUACAUUAUAUUUAUGUGUAUAUUAUACAUUAAAUGAUAUUUUUGUGUGAUAAUUAUGACCUAGCCAUGUGCAGUGUAGGAGUGCACAUGAGCUAUGCUGACCCAGCCAUGUGCGGUGUAGAAGUGCACACGAGCUGUGCUGACCCAGCCAUGUUCGGUGUAUGAGUGCACAUGAGCUGUGCUGACCUGGCUAUGUACGGAGUGGUAGUGCACAUAAGCUAAGACAGAGUUGGGGGCGAGGCCGGUGGUUAUAUAUGUUUCUAUAUGAUAUAUAUAUAUAUAGAGGUUUUUGGAAAUUAUAUUGUGGCUGCAUUGAUUUUUGAAUGUUAAAACUUGAGAAAUGGUUUCCACUUGAUUUUCACCGCAGCAAAGAUAAAUUUCCGUUGUGACAAGAAAUUGAGUUAGAUUGGAUUGUCUUCAACAUAAAUGCAUCAUAAUUUCUAAAACCUCCCGUAUUGAUGCUUGUUCCCUUCCUAUGUUCACUCACUAAGUUUAUACUCACGUUUUUAAAAUUCAUGUUUUAGGUUUCCUUAGUUAAAGGUGAUUGGAUUCUAGGACGAGGUGCUCCUCCCUGUACAUUGCUCGGUAGGUUUAAUGUGACACUAAGUGUUAUCAAUCGUGCCCAGAGUCACUCCACUGACGAUCAAGGUCUAAUUAUGUGUAUGUGAAUAUUUAAUGUGAACAUUAAGAAUCAUUGUUAAUCUAUUAAUG